GAAAAGAACUUUGAAGAGAGAGUUCAAGAGUACGUGAAACCGUUCAGGGGUAAACCUGAGAAACCCAAAAGAUCGAAUGGGGAGAUUCAUCGACGACGAAGCUGGCUCCCGUUGGCGUGCGAUUCCCCCGUUGGGACCUCGGUUCCAGAACGCGGGGUACACCCCUUCGGCGAACAACCGGCGACGUAGUCGUGCACUUCUCCCUUAGUAGAACGUCGCGACCCGUUGUGUGUCGGUCUACGGCCUGGGCUAUUUGCCUGUCGCGGUGGCAUUCGUUCGCUCGCGGCAGAGGCUCGGUCGCCCGGCCGGCUGCACGACGGUACUCCGACGGUAUCGGGCCGCAACCAAUCCAUUCUCGAAUGGUAUAUGCGUCCAGGCCCGUCGCAAGCUCGGACAGCACCCGGAGCGUGUGGACGCAGUGCCCUCCCCGGGUCUGGUGGCCAGCUGUUAGCAGACGGUGUCCUCGGACCGGCCAAGCUUCGAAUUACCGGUCAGCGACGCUAUUGCUUUGGGUACUCUCAGGACCCGUCUUGAAACACGGACCAAGGAGUCUAACAUGUGCGCGAGUCAUUGGGACAUUGAAACCUAAAGGCGAAAUGAAAGUGAAAGUCGUCGUAAGCGUCGACCAAGGGAGGAUGGGCCGCGUCACGUCGCGGCCUCGCACUCCCGGGGCGUCUCGUUCUCGUUGAGAAGAGGCGCACCCAGAGCG
This 709-nucleotide ribosomal RNA is filed under the name Colletes esakii. Its description in RNAcentral is "eukaryotic LSU rRNA". It matches the Rfam family "Eukaryotic large subunit ribosomal RNA", at positions 366 to 802 of the family's 3401-position model. Lineage: Eukaryota; Metazoa; Arthropoda; Insecta; Hymenoptera; Colletidae. The record is from RNAcentral.